GGGAGGUGGCUGAGUGGUCAAAAGCAGCAGACUGUAAAUCUGCCGGUGUAAGCCUACGUAGGUUCGAAUCCUGCCCUCCCC
This 81-nucleotide transfer RNA is filed under the name marine eukaryotic metagenome. It matches the Rfam family "tRNA". From Rfam's summary of the family: Transfer RNA (tRNA) molecules are approximately 80 nucleotides in length. Their secondary structure includes four short double-helical elements and three loops (D, anti-codon, and T loops). Further hydrogen bonds mediate the characteristic L-shaped molecular structure. tRNAs have two regions of fundamental functional importance: the anti-codon, which is responsible for specific mRNA codon recognition, and the 3' end, to which the tRNAs corresponding amino acid is attached (by aminoacyl-tRNA synthetases). tRNAs cope with the degeneracy of the genetic code in two manners: having more than one tRNA (with a specific anti-codon) for a particular amino acid; and 'wobble' base-pairing, i.e. permitting non-standard base-pairing at the 3rd anti-codon position. The record is from RNAcentral.